CUAUGCUGCCGAGAAAAGCCUCUAGUGAGUGUUGUGGCGGCCCGUACCCUAAACCGACUCAGGUGGUCAGGUAGAGAAUACCAAGGCGAUCGGGUGAACUGUGGUUAAGGAACUCGGCAAAUUGCCCCCGUAACUUCGGGAGAAGGGGGACCUCUGCUGGUGAUGGGCUUUACGUUCUGAGCUGGUGGGGGUCGCAGUGGCCAGGGGGAAGCGACUGUUUACUAAAAACACAGGUCCGUGCGAAGUCGUAAGACGAUGUAUACGGACUGACGCCUGCCCGGUGCCGGAACGUUAAGGGGACCGCUUAGCCAACGCGAGUUGGCGAAGGUGUGAACUUAAGCGCCGGUAAACGGCGGUGGUAACUAUAACCAUCCUAAGGUAGCGAAAUUCCUUGUCGGGUAAGUUCCGACCUGCACGAAUGGCGUAACGACUUCCCCGCUGUCUCAACCACAGACCCGGCGAAAUUGCACUACGAGUAAAGAUGCUCGUUUCGCGCAGCAGGACGGAAAGACCCCGGGACCUUCACUACAGCUUGACAUUGGCGUUUGGAACGUCUUGUGUAGGAUAGGUGGGAGACUGGGAAGCUGUCACGCUAGUGAUGGUGGAGUCAUUGGUGAAAUACCACUCUGGUCGUUUUGAACGUCUAACUCUGGUCCGUGAUCCGGAUCGGGGACAGUGUCUGGUGGGUAGUUUAACUGGGGCGGUUGCCUCCUAAAGAGUAACGGAGGCGCCCAAAGGUUCCCUCAGCCUGGUUGGCAAUCAGGUGUUGAGUGUAAGUGCACAAGGGAGCUUGACUGUGAGACUGACAGGUCGAGCAGGAGCGAAAGCUGGGACUAGUGAUCCGGCAUCGGCGUGUGGAAGCGGUGUCGCUCAACGGCUAAAAGGUACCCCGGGGAUAACAGGCUGAUCUUCCCCAAGAGUCCAUAUCGACGGGAUGGUUUGGCACCUCGAUGUCGGCUCGUCGCAUCCUGGGGCUGGAGUAAGUCCCAAGGGUUGGGCUGUUCGCCCAUUAAAGCGGUACGCGAGCUGGGUUUAGAGCGUCGCGAGACAGUUCGGUCCCUAUCCGCUGCGCGCGCAGGAGACUUGAAGGGGGCUGUCCCUAGUACGAGAGGACCGGGACGGACGAACCUCUGGUGUGCCAGUUGUACCGCCAGGUGCACGGCUGGUUGGCUACGUUCGGAAGGGAUAACCGCUGAAAGCAUCUAAGCGGGAAGCUCGCCUUGAGAUGAGGUCUCCCACCCCGUGAGGGGGUAAGGCUCCCGGUAGAUCACCGGGUUGAUAGGCCGGAGGUGGAAGCACGGUAACGUGUGGAGCUGACCGGUACUAAUAGGCCGAGGACUUGACCAC
RNAcentral lists this ribosomal RNA (1347 nucleotides) under metagenome. RNAcentral describes it as "bacterial LSU rRNA". It matches the Rfam family "Bacterial large subunit ribosomal RNA", at positions 1600 to 2925 of the family's 2925-position model. The record is from RNAcentral.